CCUACGGGGGGCAGCAGUGAGGAAUAUUGGUCAAUGGGCGGAAGCCUGAACCAGCCAAGUAGCGUGCAGGAUGACGGCCCUACGGGUUGUAAACUGCUUUUAUACGGGAAUAACGCGCCUUACGUGUAGGGCUUUGCAUGUACCGUAUGAAAAAGGACCGGCUAAUUCCGUGCCAGCAGCCGCGGUAAUACGGAGGGUACGGGCGUUAUUCGGAUUUAUUGGGUUUAAAGGGAGCGUAGGCCGCAUGUCAAGCUUGCUGUGAAAUGUCCGGGCUCAGCACGGGCCUUGCAGCGCGAACUGGCGUGCUUGAGGGCGCGGAAAGCAGGCGGAAUUCGGCGUG
Molecule: ribosomal RNA, 340 nt
Filed under: uncultured bacterium
Lineage: Bacteria
Description: partial 16S ribosomal RNA
Rfam family: Bacterial small subunit ribosomal RNA
Source: RNAcentral